GUCGAACGAAACUUCUUUAUCACCGAGUGCUUGCACUCACCGAUAAAGAGUUGAGUGGCGAACGGGUGAGUAACACGUGGGCAACCUGCCCAAAAGAGGGGGAUAACACUUGGAAACAGGUGCUAAUACCGCAUAACCAUAGUUACCGCAUGGUAACUAUGUAAAAGGUGGCUAUGCUACCGCUUUUGGAUGGGCCCGCGGCGCAUUAGCUAGUUGGUGGGGUAAAGGCUUACCAAGGCGAUGAUGCGUAGCCGAACUGAGAGGUUGAUCGGCCACAUUGGGACUGAGAUACGGCCCAAACUCCUACGGGAGGCAGCAGUAGGGAAUCUUCCACAAUGGGCGAAAGCCUGAUGGAGCAACGCCGCGUGGGUGAAGAAGGUCUUCGGAUCGUAAAACCCUGUUGUUAGAGAAGAAAGUGCGUGAGAGUAACUGUUCACGUUUCGACGGUAUCUAACCAGAAAGCCACGGCUAACUACGUGCCAGCAGCCGCGGUAAUACGUAGGUGGCAAGCGUUAUCCGGAUUUAUUGGGCGUAAAGGGAACGCAGGCGGUCUUUUAAGUCUGAUGUGAAAGCCUUCGGCUUAACCGGAGUAGUGCAUUGGAAACUGGGAGACUUGAGUGCAGAAGAGGAGAGUGGAACUCCAUGUGUAGCGGUGAAAUGCGUAGAUAUAUGGAAGAACACCAGUGGCGAAAGCGGCUCUCUGGUCUGUAACUGA
This 715-nucleotide ribosomal RNA is filed under the name uncultured bacterium. RNAcentral describes it as "bacterial SSU rRNA". It matches the Rfam family "Bacterial small subunit ribosomal RNA", at positions 61 to 743 of the family's 1533-position model. The record is from RNAcentral.